RNAcentral lists this unclassified non-coding RNA (917 nucleotides) under Scopulariopsis candida. RNAcentral's name for it is "sequence contains 18S rRNA gene, ITS1, 5.8S rRNA gene, ITS2, 28S rRNA gene". The stretch from base 677 to 917 matches the Rfam family "Eukaryotic large subunit ribosomal RNA", at positions 1 to 240 of the family's 3401-position model. Lineage: Eukaryota; Fungi; Ascomycota; Sordariomycetes; Microascales; Microascaceae. The record is from RNAcentral.
GCUCAGUGAGACCUUCGGACUGGCCCAGAGAGGUGGGCAACUACCACUCAGGGCCGGAAAGUUGUUCAAACUCGGUCAUUUAGAGGAAGUAAAAGUCGUAACAAGGUCUCCGUUGGUGAACCAGCGGAGGGAUCAUUACCGAAGUUACCCUUCUAAACCCAUUGUGAACCUUACCUCUUGCCGCGCGUUGCCUCGGCGGGGAGGCGGGGGUGGGUCGGCGCGCCCCUCUGCGGGCCGCCGUCCCCGCCCCCGUCCCCGCCGGCCGCGCCAAACUCUAAAUUUGCAAAGCGGACUGCACGUUCUGAUUUAAAACAAAAAACAAGUAAAAACUUUUAACAACGGAUCUCUUGGUUCUGGCAUCGAUGAAGAACGCAGCGAAAUGCGAUAAGUAAUGUGAAUUGCAGAAUUCAGUGAAUCAUCGAAUCUUUGAACGCACAUUGCGCCCGGCAGCAAUCUGCCGGGCAUGCCUGUCCGAGCGUCAUUUCUCCCCUCGAGCGCGGCUAGCCCUACGGGGCCUGCCGCCGCCCGGUGUUGGGGCUCUACGGGUGGGGUUCGUCCCCCCCGCAGUCCCCGAAAUGUAGUGGCGGUCCAGCCGCGGCGCCCCCUGCGUAGUAGAUCCUACAUCUCGCAUCGGGUCCCGGCGAAGGCCAGCCGUCGAACCUUCUUACUCAUGGUUUGACCUCGGAUCAGGUAGGGUUACCCGCUGAACUUAAGCAUAUCAAUAAGCGGAGGAAAAGAAACCAACAGGGAUUGCCCCAGUAACGGCGAGUGAAGCGGCAACAGCUCAAAUUUGAAAUCUGGUCCCCUUUGGGGGCCCGAGUUGUAAUUUGAAGAGGAUGCUUUUGGCGAGGCGCCGUCCGAGUUCCCUGGAACGGGACGCCGCAGAGGGUGAGAGCCCCGUACGGUCGGACGCCGAG